CCUUGACAUCCAGAGAACUUAGCAGAGAUGCUUUGGUGCCUUCGGGAACUCUGAGACAGGUGCUGCAUGGCUGUCGUCAGCUCGUGUUGUGAAAUGUUGGGUUAAGUCCGCAACGAGCGCAACCCUUAUCCUUUGUUGCCAGCGGUUCGGCCGGGAACUCAAAGGAGACUGCCGGUGAUAAACCGGAGGAAGGUGGGGAUGACGUCAAGUCAUCACGGCCCUUACGGCCAGGGCUACACACGUGCUACAAUGGCGCAUACAAAGAGAAGCGACCUCGCGAGAGCAAGCGGACCUCAUAAAGUGCGUCGUAGUCCGGAUUGGAGUCUGCAACUCGACUCCAUGAAGUCGGAAUCGCUAGUAAUCGUAGAUCAGAAUGCUACGGUGAAUACGUUCCCGGGCCUUGUACACACCGCCCGUCACACCAUGGGAGUGGGUUGCAAAAGAAGUAGGUAGCUUAACCUUCGGGAGGGCGCUUACCACUUUGUGAUUCAUGACUGGGGUGAAGUCGUAACAAGGUAAGCGUAGCGAG
This 529-nucleotide ribosomal RNA is filed under the name uncultured bacterium. RNAcentral's name for it is "bacterial SSU rRNA". It matches the Rfam family "Bacterial small subunit ribosomal RNA", at positions 979 to 1509 of the family's 1533-position model. The record is from RNAcentral.